GCCAGAGUAGCUCAGUGGCAGAGCAGCUGAUUCGUAAUCAGCAGGUCGCGAGUUCGACCCUCGCCUCUGGCUCCA
This 75-nucleotide transfer RNA is filed under the name bacterium. Its description in RNAcentral is "tRNA-Thr". It matches the Rfam family "tRNA". Rfam says of the family: Transfer RNA (tRNA) molecules are approximately 80 nucleotides in length. The record is from RNAcentral. RNAcentral also lists the same sequence under 2 other names.